This 502-nucleotide ribosomal RNA is filed under the name uncultured bacterium. RNAcentral's name for it is "bacterial SSU rRNA". It matches the Rfam family "Bacterial small subunit ribosomal RNA", at positions 25 to 518 of the family's 1533-position model. The record is from RNAcentral.
CAGAACGAACGCUGGCGGCGCGUUUAAGCAUGCAAGUCGAGCGGCAAGGGCCUUCGGGCCCCUAGAGCGGCGGACGGGUGAGUAACACGUGGACAAUCUGCCCCCCGGCCCGGGAUAGCCCAGGGAAACCUGGAUUAAUACCGGAUGAGACGGGACCCGCGAUGGCGGGACCCGGGAAAGGCGCUGCGGCGCCGCCGGGGGAUGAGUCUGCGUCCCAUUAGCUAGACGGCGGGGUAACGGCCCACCGUGGCGACGAUGGGUAGCCGGCCUGAGAGGGUGGACGGCCACAUUGGAACUGAGACACGGUCCAGACUCCUACGGGAGGCGGCAGCUAAGAAUCUUCCGCAAUGGGCGAAAGCCUGACGGAAGCGACGCCGCGUGAACGAAGAAGGCCGUGAGGUUGUAAAGUUCUUUUCGGGAGGGGAACAACCGUGGCAGGGAAUGGCCGCGGGAUGACGUGAAUCCCGGAAUAAGCCCCGGCUAACUACGUGCCAGCCGCCGC